RNAcentral lists this ribosomal RNA (512 nucleotides) under uncultured bacterium. RNAcentral's name for it is "bacterial SSU rRNA". It matches the Rfam family "Bacterial small subunit ribosomal RNA", at positions 355 to 882 of the family's 1533-position model. The record is from RNAcentral.
UGGGGAAUCUUGGACAAUGGGGGCAACCCUGAUCCAGCCAUGCCGCGUGAGUGAUGAAGGCCUUAGGGUCGUAAAGCUCUUUCGCCUGUGAAGAUAAUGACGGUAGCAGGUAAAGAAACCCCGGCUAACUCCGUGCCAGCAGCCGCGGUAAUACGGAGGGGGUUAGCGUUGUUCGGAAUUACUGGGCGUAAAGCGCACGUAGGCGGACCAGAAAGUUGGGGGUGAAAUCCCGGGGGCUCAACCCCGGAACUGCCUCCAAAACUAUUGGUCUAGAGUUCGAGAGAGGUGAGUGGAAUUCCAAGUGUAGAGGUGAAAUUCGUAGAUAUUUGGAGGAACACCAGUGGCGAAGGCGGCUCACUGGCUCGAUACUGACGCUGAGGUGCGAAAGUGUGGGGAGCAAACAGGAUUAGAUACCCUGGUAGUCCACACCGUAAAACGAUGAAUGCCAGUCGUCGGGUAGCAUGCUAUUCGGUGACACACCUAACGGAUUAAGCAUUCCGGCCUGGGGAGUA